This 381-nucleotide unclassified non-coding RNA is filed under the name uncultured Gammaproteobacteria bacterium. Its description in RNAcentral is "partial 16S-23S ribosomal RNA intergenic spacer". Lineage: Bacteria; Pseudomonadati; Pseudomonadota; Gammaproteobacteria. The record is from RNAcentral.
CCUCCUUAUAACGAGGUUACACUUACAGAGUGUUCACACAAAUAAUUAAUUACGAAGUUUUAAGAGAGCUCUAACCCAUGCGCACAGUAUGUGCUCAUCAGUUAGGGUUUUUAACCCGGACGUGUAAACGUCAUGCUCUUUAACAAUUUGGAAAGCUGAUAAAAUAAGGUAAACAUUAUUGUUUAUUUAAUUUGUUAUUCAACAAUUUAAAAAAAUAAUUUUGAUUAUCACUGUAAGAGAAAACUCAAGCGUUAUUUAUGUCAAAACGAACAUGCCUAUACAACAUGUCUCGUUAAUAAAUAUGACACAAGAUGAUGCAAUCGAGAAUGUGAGAACAUUUAAGGUUGUAUGGUUAAGUGAAUAAGCGUAUACGGUGGAUGC